Molecule: ribosomal RNA, 241 nt
Filed under: Aspergillus templicola
Lineage: Eukaryota; Fungi; Ascomycota; Eurotiomycetes; Eurotiales; Aspergillaceae
Description: partial 28S ribosomal RNA
Rfam family: Eukaryotic large subunit ribosomal RNA
Source: RNAcentral
UUGACCUCGGAUCAGGUAGGGAUACCCGCUGAACUUAAGCAUAUCAAUAAGCGGAGGAAAAGAAACCAACCGGGAUUGCCUCAGUAACGGCGAGUGAAGCGGCAAGAGCUCAAAUUUGAAAGCUGGCCCCUCCGGGGUCCGCAUUGUAAUUUGCAGAGGAUGCUUCGGGUGCAGCCCCCGUCUAAGUGCCCUGGAAUGGGCCGUCAGAGAGGGUGAGAAUCCCGUCUGGGAUGGGGUGCCU